UUUAACGAAUAUUAAAAAGUUUUAGGAUAUAUCGACUACUUUUUUGGAAAUUAUUCUUCGACAGCUAAACUUAAUAACGUCUGCUAGUUGGUUGGCUAGUUUUACUUUUGUUAUUUGAAAUUGAUAUUCUAAGAUCAAGCAAGCGUUUAAUCCACAAGUCAACAAAUAAAUCAUCAUGAUAAUAGAGAAUGCUUCAGAGCAACAAGAUGAAUAUGAAGUGCAAGAACCUACUCCUGUUGAAGUUAGACCACUUUCUCCAUCCAAAUCUCCUCAAUGUAUAGUUUUUCCUUAUAUUGGACCUCCUGGCGCUGGUCCUGGUUUACUUGGUAGUAGACCAGGAGUUGGUAAUAUUGAAUAUCUUGUUGCAUUAGAACAACAUGCCACUAGUCUAAAGAGUGCCUUAGCCAUAGCAGCAUCUCUACAAAAUACAAAGAACAAAAAUGUAGACGUCGAAAUAAUAUACGACUCCAUUUAUAACAGUCAUGGUCAACUGAACAAUAAUUAUGACAUGUCUUCCAACCAGUAACAUGUUUUUAAAUUUCUUUUAAUUUAUUCAUCACCUCACUUCAAAUGACAAUCCAUUUUUAGUCAUUUAUCGUUUUAAACUUUCUUUCAUAUAUCUGUUUAAAAUUUGUAAAAAUUUAUCUUUUUGUUAGUCAUUUUGCUUCAUUUGUUAAAAUAAGCACACAAAAAAUACUUUUAAAAAGCAUUUUACUUAUUUUGCAUUUUACAAUUAAGUUAAGUCUUAUUUCAAUGCUUUUUAUUAUGUUAAUUAUAGAAUAUAAUGAUUCAUCGUGGGCUUAAAUUUUUCAAUUUUAAUAAUUUUUAAGAAAGCGAAUUUCUUAUGGAACAUUAGUAGGCUAUCUUCUUAUUUGAAGCUAAUUUUUUUGACUAUUUUAUUCCUGUACAAAAUAGAAAAAAAAAUUGCUCACUAUGUUUGAACUCUUACUCUUAAGUUGUAUUGUAAAAGUAAACUUAGUGGAUUUAAUGUGAUAAAAAAAAACCCAAUUCUACUGAUUGUAACUUUAAUUCUAUUAUCACUCUCGAAUCUACUAUGAUUUUAUAUGUAUAAAAAAAAAAGUUUAUUUUAUUCUUAUUCAUUUUCGUUUAACUAAACUUAACAAUACACUAAGGUUAAUUUUAUUUUGUUUAUUUCUAGGUCAGGACUGUAAUAAAUUUAAACUUUUUUGAAGUUCUACUUUUUAAAAAUUAGACUUUUUCUUUCUCACUAUUGGAAUAGUUGAUAUCAUUAAACUACUUACGUUAAUAUAAGAACAUAAUUGCAAUUAAAAAAUAUAAGAAACAAUAAUUAAUUGGAAUCAGUUUUGGUACUAUUAUAAGUUAUUUCAAUUUACUUUCAAAGAAGUCUGAAAUUAUUAAAACCGUUAUGUAAUGUAAGUAGGAAUAGUUUACGUGGAUUAAUUAUCUAACUUUCCAAAUUUUUUAGAAAAAUAUAUAUAAAAGACCAUUUUAAUUCAAGGAAAAAACUUUCUCUUGGUUUUGAUUGAAAAAAUUUAGAUAUAACUGAAAAUAUAUUGAAGUAUGAAUAUGAGUUUGAGAGUAUAAUGUAAAUUGUGACAGAUAAGCUUGCUAUGAUAGGCAGAAUAUUUAUAAUUAAAGAUGUGGGUGUAUUUUUCAGAUUUAUGUUUGAAAACUAAAUUAUUGACCAAAUUUGGUAUUUAUAGGGAAUUUAAUAUUUAUUAAACACAAAGUUCGUAAUCAAAAAAUAUUUUUUUCAGGAUAACUAUUUAUACCUCAAUAAAACAUGAAAAAAAACUGGCCAUCAUAUUAGAAAAACAAAAAUUACUAAAUUGUUAGAUUACUAAAUGUUUGUUUUGUUUUCCGACUAAUAUACUCUUAUAAUGAAAUUGAAUAUCAUAACAUAAUUUAUUUGCGAAUUACAGCUAAAUACAAUUUUUAAUUUGAAAAAACAAAUGUUUGCAGUUAUCUAUAAAAGUAAUGAAAAAAUUCUCUGUGAUUUAUAAGAGUAUUAUCCAAAUUUGGUUUAUGGUUUGUUUAUGAAGGUCAAAAUACCCCUCUUAAUUAAAAAAUAGCUAUAGUUUUAAUUUAUUUUAAAUAUACUGUCGGUCAGAAAGUUUUAAUUGUCCAAUUUAGCAAUGCAAUAAAUAGUUGGUGCUAAUGAGAAGAAUUAUUGUGAUAUGUUUUUGAGGAUUAUAUUGCAUAAAUUCCUAAAUGGUAUAAUACAGAAUGAUUUCUAUUUACCUAAUCGUUAAUUUUUAAAUAUAACUACAAAUACUAUGCAAACUACAUAUUAUUAUUAAAAAGAUUAACUGUUGAUUUAUUUAUAAAUAAUUUUAAAGUAUAUUUAUUUAUAAAUAAUUAUUUGAAUUGCUUGUAAUGUUGAUUAAUUGAAGGCCUUAUUUGAAUUGUACUUCGCUUUAAAAAAUAAUGAAGGUAGCCUGACAUUUGUGUUCAUAAAAGUCAUUUCUAUAUUCGAAAACUAGUCUAGUUCAAUCUUAUUUCUGCUGCGAAACGCAGAGUACCAAAAAGGAAACAAGAUAAAAUUGAUACACUCAUUAGACUUUAAGGCUCUCUAUUGCAAAAUGAAGAAAAGAAGAGUUAUCCCACUAUUCAAGUAAGGCAUUCAGCUGUAUCACUAAUUAUGUGUGAUCAAUCAACAAAUUGCCUUCCAACAAAUUAUUACUAAAUACUAUGAUUAACUAUAAUAAUUUGCUCAAAACAUUUACAAAUAUAUUAAGUGUGAAGUGUUUGUGUGUUAUUGCAACGAAAUAUUUUUCUUUUUAAAGAAAUGAUUAUACUGCUAUUUUAUAAUUAUAUACUAUGAUUACCUUUUUGCUCAAUGCUUAUCUUUAUAUUUGCUCAAACUUUUUUCUUGGAUAUUUUUAUAUUUUAUUAGUACUCUGAAUAUAUUGGGUUACAAAACUUUCAGCUGAAUACUUUUGUUCUUGUUGAUAAGAUAUUUAUUUUGCUUAUAAAUUUUAAACUACCUUGAUAAAAAGUCAUCAGAAAAUUAAAAAAAUUGUAAUACAAAAAACUGAGAUGAAAACUUAAUUUUUUUUUUUUUGUAUUUAUAACUUAAAUGUUGUUCUCCAGUUAUUUUAAGUUAUUUAUUUUCCAGUUAUAUAGUAUAUUUAAAAAUGACGUUAGAAUAAAUAGCAGCAUACGUAUGUUAGUUUUUAUUUUACUAUAUUGAUGCUGAAAACUAUGCAAUACAUUGUUAUCUCUGUCGCAAUAUAUGUCUGUUGUGUACAGCAAUAUAUGCAAAAAUUACUUUGAAGAAAAAGGUUAAUAUUUUUUAAAAAUUCUUUUUUACUAAUUUAUAUGUGAAUGAUACAAAAAGUAUAAAUGUAAUACAAUCGUUGCAUUUCUAUUUAUUAAUAUUACUUGCAUUUAAAAUUUAAAUUAUUGUUUUAUGUAUAAAAAUAUUUUUAAACAUCAAAACAGAGUGAAUGUGUCAGUUUAAAGAGCUAUUCUUAAUUUACAUAUAAAUUACAGGAUUAGUGGCAGCUUUAAAGGUAAAUUUCAAACAGUAUUUUUAUAAAUUAACUGAUUAUCUAAA
Non-coding RNA from Parasteatoda tepidariorum (common house spider), 3541 nucleotides. The record is from RefSeq and is a predicted model, not a curated record. Lineage: Eukaryota; Metazoa; Arthropoda; Arachnida; Araneae; Theridiidae.